AUCUCAAUUCUGAGUUAUAAAAAAAAAGACGGCCGGGCAUGAUGGCUCACGCCUGUAAUCCCAGCACUUUGGGAGGCCGAGGUGGGUGGAUCAUGAGGUCAGGAGAUCGAGAACAUCCUGGCCAACAUGGUGAAACCCUGUCUCUAUUAAAAAUCCAAAAAUUAGCUGGGUGUGGUGGUGCAUGACUAUGGUCCCAGCUACUCAGGAGGCUGAGGCAGGAGAAUCACUUGAACCCGGGGGGUGGAGGUUGCAGUGAGCUGAGAUCGCGCCACUGCACUCCAGCCUGGUGACAGAAUGAGACUCCGUCUCAAAAAAAAAAAAAAAAAAAAAAAAAAAAAAAAAAAAAAAAAAAAGAAAGGAAGAAAGAAAAAUGACAAAGACAGUAUUUAAGUACAAUGUGUGCUAAUAUUAUCUUAGUUUUGUCCUUAGAAACAGCACAUGCCUGGGGAAGUUAUGGAGGUUAUGCAAUCAGCAAACUUAGAAAUGUGUUGCUUAACUUCAAAAUUGCGUGGUGGGAAACGUUUCUUGGAGGCCUGAUUUUUUCUAACCAGUUUAUACAAAUGACAACUGCGGUCCCAUCCACUCCAAUCUGUGGAUUUGGUGAACAUGAACAUCUAUCCUUUAAGCAUGACAUGAAUUUUGUUAAAUAUGGAAUGUUUUCCAGAGCUCACUCACCAACGGUAAUAUAAACCACUCUCAGCCCAUAUCCUUCUUUAACAUUCCGGACUAUUGGAGGAAUUCUUGACUUCAACAUGUUUCUGGACCCCACUCCUGAAAAUGUCCAGCAAUACACAGAGAUGAGUACAGUACUGUAAAUAAUGCUCACGUUCCCAUUGCCCUUGUUCUCAUGAGGGAGAAGCAAUUCGUGAGUCUAUAAAUUACCCAUCCUUCAGCCCUCUAAUCUCAAGGUUAAUUGUGCCUACAUUAAGGCCAAAACUCCUGACUUGAUUGUAACUUUAUUAAAUAAGGGUUUUAAAUCCUGUUGGAAUAAUUUAGCCAGAAUUUACCUGAAAUAAAAUUAUACCUUCAAAAAGUAUUCUAGACUUCUAGACUGAAGUAUUUUUUCCCCUCUAGUCAGAGCCACA
This 1085-nucleotide long non-coding RNA is filed under the name Pan troglodytes (chimpanzee). RNAcentral's name for it is "lncRNA (ENSPTRG00000054447.1)". Lineage: Eukaryota; Metazoa; Chordata; Mammalia; Primates; Hominidae. The record is from RNAcentral.